RNAcentral lists this unclassified non-coding RNA (335 nucleotides) under soil metagenome. Its description in RNAcentral is "partial contains 5.8S ribosomal RNA, internal transcribed spacer 2, and large subunit ribosomal RNA". The stretch from base 1 to 120 matches the Rfam family "5.8S ribosomal RNA", at positions 35 to 154 of the family's 154-position model. The record is from RNAcentral.
GAUGAAGAACGUAGCGAAAUGCGAUACGUAAUGUGAAUUGCAGAGUUCAGUGAAUCAUCGAAUCUUUGAACGCACAUUGCGCCCGCCAGUAUUCUGGCGGGCAUGCCUGUUCGAGCGUCAUUUCAACCAUCAAGCCCCCGGCUUGUGUUGGGGACCUGCGGCUGCCGCAGGCCCUGAAAACCAGUGGCGGGCUCGCUAGUCACUCCGAGCGUAGUAAUACAUCUCGCUCAGGGCGUGCUGCGGGUUCCGGCCGUUAAAAAGCCUUAUUUACCCAAGGUUGACCUCGGAUCAGGUAGGAAGACCCGCUGAACUUAAGCAUAUCAAUAAGCGGAGGA